AACGAACGCUGGCGGCAGGCCUAACACAUGCAAGUCGAACGCUCCGCAAGGGGAGUGGCAGACGGGUGAGUAACACGUGGGAAUCUUCCUAUCGGUACGGAAUAGCUCAGGAAAACUUGGGGUAAUACCGCAUACGCCCUUCGGGGGAAAGAUUUAUCGCCGAUAGAUGAGCCCGCGUCUGAUUAGCUAGUUGGUGAGGUAAUGGCUCACCAAGGCGACGAUCAGUAGCUGGUUUGAGAGAAUGACCAGCCACACUGGACUGAGACACGGCCCAGACUCCUACGGGAGGCAGCAGUGGGGAAUCUUGGACAAUGGGCGCAAGCCUGAUCCAGCCAUGCCGCGUGAGUGACGAAGGUCUUCGGAUUGUAAAGCUCUUUUGCCAGGGACGAUAAUGACGGUACCUGGAGAAUAAGCCCCGGCUAACUUCGUGCCAGCAGCCGCCGUAA
This 446-nucleotide ribosomal RNA is filed under the name uncultured bacterium. RNAcentral's name for it is "partial 16S ribosomal RNA". It matches the Rfam family "Bacterial small subunit ribosomal RNA", at positions 29 to 523 of the family's 1533-position model. The record is from RNAcentral.